Rattus norvegicus (Norway rat) is the source of this 120-nucleotide microRNA precursor. Ensembl annotates it as microRNA 1199. Lineage: Eukaryota; Metazoa; Chordata; Mammalia; Rodentia; Muridae. The record is from Ensembl.
AGCCUGCGCCGGAGCCGCGGUCUGAGUCCGGGUCGCGCGGGAGAGGAACUCAUCGAGUUGCGGGUGCGGCCGGUGCUCAGCCGGCCAGGUUCCGGUAUCCCGCUGCCGCGCGCCCUGGAG